CAUUGCCUGGAUUCUUUUUGUCACCACAAAUUAAGUUACUGUUUUUGCAUUAAUUCCGAUAGUAUAUACAGCACUGGCAUUAAUUACAUGUUGGCCCUCCCUCCUUUCACUUUCUUCUCUUUCUUGACACAUAUAGAUAUGGCUAGCUAAUAAAGUAUAGGUGUUGGACAGGACAUUAUAUUAUUGGUUUCAUUUGAAAAAUUGAGAGAGAGAGAGAGAGAGAGAGAGGGAGAGGGAGGGGUGAAAAAUGCAUGGAGCUGAGAGAAGAAGAUCAACAUCCUCAGGAGGAGGAGGUGAUCAUCAUCAUCAGGAUAAUCAUGAUGAUGAGUAUGAUGAAGAUGGAGAGUCGCCGUUUGAGGUUGAGGAUGAGGUGGAGCUUUCAACAACACCCUGGUGGUGGUGGUGGAAAAGGCGUUUCACUUUCAGCAAUACCGACUCCAGUCUUACAACUACUGGUUCUAGAUCAUCUGCUGCAUCUUCCUUUUUCGAUCGUCUCGUCAUUCAUCCUGAUAACUGGUGGUACGUGGCGUGGACGCAUUUCAUUCUAAUAUGGGCAGUCUACUCGUCCUUCUUCACCCCCUUGGAGUUCGGCUUCUUCAGAGGUCUGCCGGAGAAUCUCUUCCUGCUCGACAUCGCAGGCCAGCUCGCCUUUCUCAUCGACAUCGUCGUCCGCUUCUUCGUCGCCUACCGCGACUUCCACUCCCACCGACUUGUCUACAAUCGCAACCUCAUCGCCCUCCGCUACCUAAAGUCUCGCUUCCUCCUCGAUUUACUGGGUUGUCUGCCUUGGGACGCCAUCUACAAGGCUUCUGGAAAAGAAGAGGGUGUGAGGUACCUGUUGUGGAUACGUCUGAGCCGAGCAUGCCGAGUGACAGAGUUUUUUGAGAAGCUUGAGAAAGAUAUAAGGAUCAACUACCUUUUCACAAGAAUUGCCAAGCUUUUUGUUGUGGAACUUUACAGCACACAUACAGCUGCCUGCUUCUUUUAUUAUCUGGCCACAACCAUGCCUCCCUCCCAGGAGGGAUACACUUGGAUUGGAAGCUUGAAGAUGGGUGACUAUAGCUAUUCCCAUUUCCGAGAGAUUGACCUCUGGAAGCGUUACAUCACCUCACUCUAUUUUGCCGUUGUUACCAUGGCCACUGUUGGAUAUGGAGAGAUACAUGCAGUGAAUGUGAGGGAGAUGAUAUUCAUCAUGUUUUAUGUGUCUUUUGACAUGAUUCUUGGUGCUUAUCUGCUGGGUAACAUCGCUGCAUUGAUUGUGAAAGGAUCGAAAACAGAAAAGUUUAGGGACAAGAUGACUGAACUAAUCAAAUACAUGAACAAAAACAGGCUUGACAGGGGCAUAAGUAAGGAAAUUAAAAACCAUUUGAGGUUACAGUAUGACCGUAGCUACACCGAAGCCACUGUUCUUCAGGACAUUCCAGCCUCUAUUCGCAGCAAGAUUUCGCAGAAAUUAUAUGAGCCGUACAUCAAAGAAGUUCCUCUGUUUAAGGGGUGCUCUUUAGGCUUCAUAAAGCAGAUUGCAACCAGAAUUCACGAAGAGUUUUUCCUUCCACCAGAAGUUAUUAUAGAGCAGGGGCAAGCAGUUGAUCAACUAUACAUAGUAUGCCAUGGUGAGCUGGAGAAGUUGGGAAGGGAUGAAGAUAAUGAAACUGAAGAGCUCCUUGAGCGUCUGCAAACCUAUAGCUCAUUUGGUGAGGUUUCCUUUCUUUGUAACACUCCCCAGCCGUAUGCUGUUCGGGUUCGUCAACUGUGCAGGGUCUUGCGACUUGAUAAACAAUCCUUUAGAGAAAUCUUGGAGAUGCAUUUUUUAGAUGGGCGCAUUAUCCUAAACAACCUCAUUGAGGGAAAAGAUUUGAAUACCCGGAACAAGCUUUUGGAAUCAGAUAUCAUACUAUAUAUUGGAAAGCAUGAAAUGGAGUUAAUUAUGAAAGUAAAUUGUGCUGCCUAUGAUGGAGAUUACUAUCGAGUAAAGCGUUUGAUUGGAGCAGGAGCAGAUCCAAACAAGACGGAUUAUGAUGGAAGGUCGCCUUUGCUUGUUGCAGCAUCGAAAGGGUAUGAAGAUAUUAUUGGUUUCCUUAUUGAUCAAGGAGCAAAUGCUGAGAUUUCAGAUAAAUUUGGGAACACUCCGUUGCUUGAAGCCAUUAAAAAUGGGCACGAUCAAGUAGCUUCUUUACUUGUUAAGGCAGGGGCGUCGCUUACUAUUGAUGACGCUGGUGAAUUUCUCUGUAUUACGGUAGCAAGGAGGAGUUUGAACCUUCUGAAAAGGCUCUUAGCCAAUGACAUUAACCCAAAUGCAAAAAAUUAUGAUCAGCGAACAGCACUUCAUGUAGCUGCUUCAGAAGGCUUAUAUCCUAUGGCAGAGUUCCUUUUAGAAGCGGGAUCAAGUGUUCUAUCAAAAGACAGAUGGGGAAGAACUCCACUUGAUGAAGCCCGUAUAGGUGGAAAUAAGAAACUAAUCAAACUGCUUGAAGUUGCUAGAGCUUCGCAGUUGUAAGAGUUCUCUAAUCAAUAUCAUCAAGAAACUAACUAAGCAUUUCUCUGAUCAAUGUGUAUUAUCAGUAACGCAUUUAUACUUGAUUAAAUGAUGAAGUGUUAUAGGAAGUGGAACAAAAGUUCUAAGAUGUUGAUAUAUGUGUUGAGAAUUUUUGUUAGAAUCUUUAAUUACCCUUUCGAUUUUCUAA
This is an RNA transcript of Prunus persica (peach), 2684 nucleotides long. It is a transcript of the gene named potassium channel SKOR, with no coding region annotated. The record is from RefSeq and is a predicted model, not a curated record. The transcript is spliced from 11 exons. Lineage: Eukaryota; Viridiplantae; Streptophyta; Magnoliopsida; Rosales; Rosaceae.